RNAcentral lists this transfer RNA (91 nucleotides) under Luteibacter sp. Its description in RNAcentral is "tRNA-Arg". Lineage: Bacteria; Pseudomonadati; Pseudomonadota; Gammaproteobacteria; Lysobacterales; Rhodanobacteraceae. The record is from RNAcentral.
GGUCAGCCAUGGUUUACGGGAGCGACCCGCGCCCUCCGGUGGCGCGGGUAAAGGGGACGACGUCGCCGGGUCAGAACCAGCGACGGUCCUC